GUUGAGGUUUUGCUGCUGAAUUCGCAGGUGGAGUCGCGUUACUGCGAUGCUGCUCAAGCCAUGGAGUUCCUCCAGCAGAUUGUCUGGUCCUCCAGAUUCCAGCGUCUGGCAUCUCGAAUGGGUCAAGAGUGGCGCAUGAGUAAUAAAGGAGAUGGAAUUGCUACCCCUCUGAUGUCAGACAUUCCUGACUUCAGGCAGCCAUGACACAAAGAAACACCAUGGAACCCAUUCAAGAAAACAUCCAACACCCGAAGCACAAAUAAAGAGUAAAUUGCACAAAUGACAAAAAGCAAGUGGACGACGUGUAGAAUAUUAAACAUCAAACUAAGACUGCAGUAGUAUUCGGUUUACGUCAGCUUAACAUCAUGCUGCUUGUCCAUUGCAGACCGUAGGGCAAGCAUUCUUCACUGAAACAUCCCAGACCACAUCAAUCACCUUGAUCCAGCCACUCAAAAACAGUAAGAAAAAGUAACCAGAAUCCAGACACACAUGCAACAUGAACUCCAAAGUCCCCCAAAACUGGUCCUCAGCCUUCUCAUUCAAUUCUUGCAAUGUGGAUCCUAAGACCCUCUUUCUCCAACAGCAGCUAGUGAAAAGAAUGAACUGUUCCAACACAGGCAGAUGGUACAUUACACCAUCCAUCCUCCACCCUUGUCCUCGUUGAUGUCAACCUUGCUCAGUCCUCAAUCUGAGAGAAGCAAUGGAGUCGAUCAUGGGCUUGUGUCCUGAAUGCCACAGUCAGAGAGAAGCAAUGGAGUCGAUCAUGGGCUUGUGUCCUGAAUGUCACAGUCAGAGAGAAGCAAUGGAGUCGAUCAUGGGCUUGUGUCCUGAAUGUCACAGUCAGAGAGAAGCAAUGGAGUCGAUCAUGGGCUUGUGUCCUGAAUGUCACAGUCAGAGAGAAGCAAUGGAGUCGAUCAUGGGCUUGUGUCCUGAAUGUCACAGUCAGAGAGAAGCAAUGGAGUCGAUCAUGGGCUUGUGUCCUGAAUGUCACAGUCAGAGAGAAGCAAUGGAGUCGAUCAUGGGCUUGUGUCCUGAAUGUCACAGUCAGAGAGAAGCAAUGGAGUUGAUUGUGGGCUUGUGUCCUGAAUGUCACAGUCAGAGAGAAGCAAUGGAGUCGAUCAUGGGCUUGUGUCCUGAAUGUCACAGUCAGAGAGAAGCAAUGGAGUCGAUCAUGGGCUUGUGUCCUGAAUGUCACAGUCAGAGAGAAGCAAUGGAGUUGAUUGUGGGCCGUGCCAUUCAUGUCACAGUCAGAGAGAAGCAAUGGAGUCGAUCAUGGGCUUGUGUCCUGAAUGUCACAGUCAGAGAGAAGCAAUGGAGUCGAUCAUGGGCUUGUGUCCUGAAUGUCACAGUCAGAGAGAAGCAAUGGAGUUGAUUGUGGGCCGUGCCAUUCAUGUCACAGUCAGAGAGGAGCAAAGGAGUCGAUCAUGGGCUUGUGUCCUGAAUGUCACAGUCAGAGAGAAGCAAUGGAGUCAAUCAUGGGCUUGUGUCCUGAAUGUCACAGUCAGAGAGAAGCAAUGGAGUCGAUUGUGGGCUCAUGCUCCGUCUUCAGGUUUCCAGACCUCCCGGCCACACACUCAGCUCCAAACCUCACCAAACUCACUCAGUGACAGCAAAGUGCCAGACUACUCAAUCGGUCCAGAAACACACUAUCAAAAUGUAAAUCACAGAGUCCAAUUACACACAGCUGAGCAGUAGAAGCAUAUUUGGAAGAAGAAGAAGCAGUAAAUGAAGACAGUUUGUGAACUGUUCGAAGGAUGUCGCCAUUGGUCACAUUAUUCACUGGCACCCUCCAAAACAGACCCUCUAUCAUCAGAUUCCUGAACAACCCGUGAACUCAUAACUUGACCUUAUCCCUUUUUUGUUUACACAAUACUUGUUUUGUAAUUUUCUGUAAUUUUAUGUCUCAGCCACUGUUUCUGCUGCUGGAAAGCAACAAAUUCAUUUAAUGUAAGACAAUGAUAAAAAAAAAAGCCCUUCUCUGAUUGUCAUGUUUGUCAAAGUAAAGAAUAUUAUUUCAGAUGAAUGAAAUGCUUUACCUUUGGAAAAUAUAUUGUCCUUGAAUAAAUUCACAGUGAAGGCUUUAACUGACCAGGAGUAUCUGUUGUCGCCUCUAUUUCAGUGAGGCGUUACUUCUGGAUCAGUGCCUUGUUGCCUUUUCCCAAGAUAACGCAGUUGAUCAACUUGGCAAGAGAUCUUUUUGCAUGGUCACUGUAUGUCAACCUUAAUGUUCCACAUUGUAUCCUUUGCCUACCCUUUCAUUUUCUGUACUGUGCCUCAGGCCUCGGAGUUUAUCGGUGCUUAACAUUUGUUCCUCCUUUCAAUUUUUUCUGUUUUUGCAGACCAACAUUAUAUCAUUACUGUUUUCCCAUCACAACAUGUUUAGUUGUGUCAAGCUGUUUCUCAUUCCAUCCAAUGACUUGUAUUUCCUGAAUCUCCUUUUUAUAAGGGAUUGGUCAGACUGCACUUAGAAUACGGUGAGCAAUUUUGGGUGCCCUGUCUAAGAAAAAAAUGUGCUGUCAUUGGAGAGGGUCCAAAGGAGGGUCACAAGAAUGAUUCUGGGAAUGAAUGGGUUAAUGUAUGAGGAGUAUUUGAUGGUUCUGGGCCUCUGGUCACUGGAGUUUAGAAGAAUGAGGGGGGAAUAUCUUAGAUAAGUAUUGAAUAUUGAAAGGCCUCAGUAGAGUAGAUGUGGAGAGGAUAUUUCCUAUAGUCGGAGAGUCUAGGACCAGAAGGCACAGCCUCAGAAUAGAGGGACAUUGAUUUAGAACAGAGAUGAGGAGGAAUUUCUUUAGCCAGAUGAAUCUGUGAAAUAUAUUGCCAUGGAUGGCUGUGGAAGACAAGUAAUUGGGUAUAUUCAAAUUGGGGGUUAAUAUCUUUUGAUUAGUCAAUGUGUCAAAGGAUACAGGGAGAAAGAUGGUGAAGCAGAUUCAGAUGGAUUAUUAAUCAGCCAUGAUAGAAUGGUGGAGCAGACCUAAUGGGCUGAAUGGCCUAAUUCUGACCCUAUAUCUUAUGGUCCUCCAUAAGAUAUGGUCUUUCAUCUCCACUGCUCCUUGGAACUUUUAGCCUGUAAAUGCCAUAUCAUUGUAUCAUUGUCCAACUAUCAGUUUUACUCUUUCCUGAUUUAUUGGUUCACACUGUCAGUUGUGAACAUUCACAAAAUAGUAAUACAAAUAAACUUACCAUUAUAUACUUUGCAAUUAGUCACAUCUGCAAAGCAUCCCGAAUUAUUUUACAGCCAGCAUUUUUUUGCUGUGCAGUCAGAGGGAUAUGGUGGGUCAGGUGGAAAAGUGUUCUUUCUCUCUGCACAUUGGGUGCGAUGGCCUUUGUUCCAUGGCUGUUAAGUGAUGAAUAUCAAGGUUGUGUAAUAGAUAUAUACAUAUACUUCGAUAAUGAAUGUAAUUUGAACUUUGAACAUUGAACUUUGAAGUGGACUUGAAGCAAUAAUUAGGCAUGUUGUUUUGAGAAUCACAAUCAGGUUUAAUAUCUCUGACAUAUGUCAAGUCAAGAUAUGUAUAUCAUGAAAUUUGAUGUUUUGU
Long non-coding RNA from Hypanus sabinus (Atlantic stingray), 3533 nucleotides. RefSeq lists it as uncharacterized. The record is from RefSeq and is a predicted model, not a curated record. NCBI's taxonomy places the organism in Eukaryota, Metazoa, Chordata, Chondrichthyes, Myliobatiformes, Dasyatidae. The transcript has 3 exons.